AAUUCUAUUGGACAGCCAGAGAAAUGGAAAAAUACUGUAAAUUGGAGAAAAUUGCUUGUCAGCUCUAGGCACGAAAUCUUACUUUCCCCGUCUCUUGUCAUGAAGAGAAGACAGAAAACAAAGCAGGAUCAACAAUUAACUGGACCUACAUAGAAGAGGAACAAAUUCUUGAAAAGGUGCUUUGUGUUCCUGCAUUUGCAUCUCAUUUGGGAUUCUGUCCCCUAAUUCUGCUCCAGGGCCAGGGUAGGGUGAGGAGAGGGAAG
RNAcentral lists this long non-coding RNA (263 nucleotides) under Mustela putorius furo (domestic ferret). RNAcentral describes it as "lncRNA (ENSMPUG00000026362.1)". The record is from RNAcentral. Lineage: Eukaryota; Metazoa; Chordata; Mammalia; Carnivora; Mustelidae.